This 506-nucleotide ribosomal RNA is filed under the name uncultured Flavobacterium sp. Its description in RNAcentral is "bacterial SSU rRNA". It matches the Rfam family "Bacterial small subunit ribosomal RNA", at positions 9 to 513 of the family's 1533-position model. Lineage: Bacteria; Pseudomonadati; Bacteroidota; Flavobacteriia; Flavobacteriales; Flavobacteriaceae. The record is from RNAcentral.
GAGUUUGAUCCUGGCUCAGGAUGAACGCUAGCGGCAGGCUUAACACAUGCAAGUCGAGGGGUAGAGGAAGCUUGCUUCCUUGAGACCGGCGCACGGGUGCGUAACGCGUAUGCAAUCUACCUUGUACAGGGGGAUAGCCCAGAGAAAUUUGGAUUAAUACCCCAUAGUGUUAUGAUGUGGCAUCACAUUAUAACUAAAGUUCCAACGGUACAAGAUGAGCAUGCGUCCCAUUAGCUAGUUGGUGUGGUAACGGCAUACCAAGGCAACGAUGGGGUAGGGGUCCUGAGAGGGAGAUCCCCCACACUGGUACUGAGACACGGACCAGACUCCUACGGGAGGCAGCAGUGAGGAAUAUUGGUCAAUGGGCGCAAGCCUGAACCAGCCAUGCCGCGUGCAGGAUGACGGUCCUAUGGAUUGUAAACUGCUUUUGUACAGGAAGAAACACUCCCUCGUGAGGGAGCUUGACGGUACUGUAAGAAUAAGGAUCGGCUAACUCCGUGCCAGCC